GAGGGUAUAGCUCAGUGGUAGAGUGCAUGCCUAGCAUGUACGGGGUCCUAGGUUCAAUCUCCAGUGUCUCCA
Molecule: transfer RNA, 72 nt
Filed under: Camelus bactrianus (Bactrian camel)
Lineage: Eukaryota; Metazoa; Chordata; Mammalia; Artiodactyla; Camelidae
Also listed under: 2 other names
Rfam family: tRNA
About the family: Transfer RNA (tRNA) molecules are approximately 80 nucleotides in length.
Source: Rfam by way of RNAcentral